GUGGUUGGUGAGAUAGCUCAGCGGUUAAGAGCACCGACUGUUCUUCCAAAGGUCCUGAGUUCAAAUCCCAGCAACCACA
RNAcentral lists this transfer RNA (79 nucleotides) under Mus musculus (house mouse). RNAcentral describes it as "tRNA-Asn". The record is from RNAcentral. Lineage: Eukaryota; Metazoa; Chordata; Mammalia; Rodentia; Muridae.